Molecule: ribozyme, 74 nt
Filed under: Crocodylus porosus (Australian saltwater crocodile)
Lineage: Eukaryota; Metazoa; Chordata; Crocodylia; Crocodylidae
Also listed under: 1 other name
Description: Mammalian CPEB3 ribozyme (ENSCPRG00005017570.1)
Rfam family: Mammalian CPEB3 ribozyme
About the family: The mammalian CPEB3 ribozyme is a self cleaving RNA located in the second intron of the CPEB3 gene which belongs to a family of genes regulating messenger RNA polyadenylation.
Source: Rfam by way of RNAcentral
CUUGUAUGCUAGGCCAUAGCAGAAGUACUCCUGGCAGGACCCUGUCAGAUUCCAAUGAAUCUGUGAAUUCUGCU